ACUUUGAUUAUGGCUCGGAACGAACGCUGGCGGCAGGCCUAACACAUGCAAGUCGAGCGCUCACUUCGGUGGGAGCGGCGGACGGGUUAGUAACGCGUGGGAACGUGCCCAGAUCUAAGGAAUAGCCACUGGAAACGGUGAGUAAUACCUUAUACGCCCUUCGGGGGAAAGAUUUAUCGGAUUUGGAUCGGCCCGCGUUAGAUUAGAUAGUUGGUGGGGUAAUGGCCUACCAAGUCUACGAUCUAUAGCUGGUUUUAGAGGAUGAUCAGCAACACUGGGACUGAGACACGGCCCAGACUCCUACGGGAGGCAGCAGUGGGGAAUCUUGGACAAUGGGGGCAACCCUGAUCCAGCCAUGCCGCGUGAGUGAUGAAGGCCUUAGGGUCGUAAAGCUCUUUCGCCAGGGAUGAUAAUGACAGUACCUGGUAAAGAAACCCCGGCUAACUCCGUGCCAGCAGCCGCGGUA
RNAcentral lists this ribosomal RNA (466 nucleotides) under uncultured bacterium. RNAcentral's name for it is "bacterial SSU rRNA". It matches the Rfam family "Bacterial small subunit ribosomal RNA", at positions 10 to 522 of the family's 1533-position model. The record is from RNAcentral.